ACUUNUACGGAANCCNAANGGNAUUAAAUCAUUUAUCNUUUAUUUGAUAAUCCCUUACUACAUGGAUACCUGGGGUAAUUCUAAACCUAAAACAUGCUUCAAGGAGUGGCUUUCGUCGCUCUGCACUUAUUAAAUAAAAAACCAAGGCCCCUUUGGGGCUCCUUGGUGAUUCAUAAUAAUUUACCGGACCGCAUUCCCUCGAGGAGGCGGGGGAUCAUUCAAAUUUCUGCCCUAUCAACUUUCGAUGGUAGGAUAGUGGCCUACCAUGGUUUCCCGGGUAACGGGGUAAC
Molecule: ribosomal RNA, 290 nt
Filed under: uncultured fungus
Lineage: Eukaryota; Fungi
Description: partial 18S ribosomal RNA
Rfam family: Eukaryotic small subunit ribosomal RNA
Source: RNAcentral